RNAcentral lists this ribosomal RNA (280 nucleotides) under Bacillus sp. GZT. RNAcentral describes it as "partial 23S ribosomal RNA". It matches the Rfam family "Bacterial large subunit ribosomal RNA", at positions 2048 to 2327 of the family's 2925-position model. Lineage: Bacteria; Bacillati; Bacillota; Bacilli; Caryophanales; Bacillaceae. The record is from RNAcentral.
UACCUGUGAAGAUGCAGGUUACCCGCGACAGGACGGAAAGACCCCGUGGAGCUUUACUGUAGCCUGAUAUUGAAUUUUGGUACAACUUGUACAGGAUAGGUAGGAGCCAGAGAUCUCGGAGCGCCAGCUUCGAAGGAGGCGUCGGUGGGAUACUACCCUGGUUGUAUUGAAAUUCUAACCCAUGCCCCUUAGCGGGGCAGGAGACAGUGUCAGGCGGACAGUUUGACUGGGGCGGUCGCCUCCUAAAAGGUAACGGAGGCGCCCAAAGGUUCCCUCAGAA